This 738-nucleotide long non-coding RNA is filed under the name Urocitellus parryii (Arctic ground squirrel). Its description in RNAcentral is "lncRNA (ENSUPAG00010008193.1)". The record is from RNAcentral. Lineage: Eukaryota; Metazoa; Chordata; Mammalia; Rodentia; Sciuridae.
CGCGGGAUGAGCCCGAGCCCAMGUGCAGCUGCGGCUGCUCCCCGAGGAGGGGCGGGGCGGGGGCGCGGGGUCAAAAGGCGCGACGCGGGAGGCGGCGCUUCCUGGGCCUGAACUUGGCUGACCCCUGCAGCUUCCGCUCUGCCCGCCGCCCUCCGCACCCCCGGGAGGACCUGGCUUCUCCUUGCUCCUUCUAGAAUCUCUGGCUAAAUUCCUGGGAGCCACAGCUUGAAGAUGACCUCUCCGGGCCAGCCCGAGCCCAAGGGCGCCCUCGGAGGAGCUGGGCCUGGCCCAGGAAUUUCUGACCCUGAGAGCCCGCCCACCCUAAGUGGUGCCCAGACCCUGGGCCAGCUCAAGGACCAGCUCCCCAGGCUGCAGCUUCGAGUGAGCACCCAGCUGGAGAGCAUCAUCCACCUGCUCACUGAAGUCCAGCAGGAUCUUCAAGAACACCACAGGCAGGUGGAAGCCUUCCUCCAGGCGGUGGACGGCCAGCCCGUGGAGGUGGGUCUCAGGUCCUGCAGGAGGGAGGGACGGCUUGGGCUCAGGGGUGGCCCCGUCUCACGCCCCCAUACGUGUGGCCCCAGGUGGGCCGACUCUCCCCUGGGAAACGCGCCGGCCAGGGCCACCAGGAGGCCCUGAGCCCCAGCUCCCCCCAGCUCCCAGAGGGCGGGAGCCCACAGGAGUCGGACUUCGAAGACGUGGUCACGGGAAGGCAGUCCGACUGGCUGCGGCCGGCCCAGU